CAGUAGCCGCGGUAAUACGGAAGGUCCGGGCGUUAUCCGGAUUUAUUGGGUUUAAAGGGAGCGUAGGCCGGGGAUUAAGUGUGUUGUGAAAUGUAGGCGCCCAACGUCUGACUUGCAGCGCAUACUGGUUCCCUUGAGUACGCGCAACGCCGGCGGAAUUCGUCGUGUAGCGGUGAAAUGCUUAGAUAUGACGAAGAACCCCGAUUGCGAAGGCAGCCGGCGGGAGCGCAACUGACGCUGAAGCUCGAAGGUGCGGGUAUCGAACAGGAUUAGAGACCCCGGUAGUCCCUGUCUCUUAUAA
RNAcentral lists this ribosomal RNA (301 nucleotides) under uncultured bacterium. Its description in RNAcentral is "partial 16S ribosomal RNA". It matches the Rfam family "Bacterial small subunit ribosomal RNA", at positions 509 to 809 of the family's 1533-position model. The record is from RNAcentral.